CCUACGGGAGGCAGCAGUGAGGAAUAUUGGUCAAUGGGCGCGAGCCUGAACCAGCCAAGUAGCGUGAAGGAUGACUGCCCUACGGGUUGUAAACUUCUUUUAUAAAGGAAUAAAGUGAGGCACGUGUGCCUUUUUGUAUGUACUUUAUGAAUAAGGAUCGGCUAACUCCGUGCCAGCAGCCGCGGUAAUACGGAGGAUCCGAGCGUUAUCCGGAUUUAUUGGGUUUAAAGGGAGCGUAGAUGGGUUGUUAAGUCAGUUGUGAAAGUUUGCGGCUCAACCGUAAAAUUGCAAUUGAUACUGGCAGUCUUGAGUGGGCGAGAAGUAUGCGGAAUGCGUGGUGUAGCGGUGAAAUGCAUAGAUAUCACGCAGAACUCCGAUUGCGAAGGCAGCAUACCGGCGCCCGACUGACGCUGAGGCACGAAAGCGUGGGUAUCGAACAGGAUUAGAUACCCCUGUAGUC
RNAcentral lists this ribosomal RNA (460 nucleotides) under uncultured bacterium. Its description in RNAcentral is "partial 16S ribosomal RNA". It matches the Rfam family "Bacterial small subunit ribosomal RNA", at positions 338 to 795 of the family's 1533-position model. The record is from RNAcentral.